GAUGAACGCUGGCGGCGUGCCUAAUACAUGCAAGUCGAGCGAACAGACGAGGAGCUUGCUCCUCUGACGUUAGCGGCGGACGGGUGAGUAACACGUGGAUAACCUACCUAUAAGACUGGGAUAACUUCGGGAAACCGGAGCUAAUACCGGAUAAUAUAUUGAACCGCAUGGUUCAAUAGUGAAAGACGGUUUUGCUGUCACUUAUAGAUGGAUCCGCGCCGCAUUAGCUAGUUGUUAAGGUAACGGCUUACCAAGGCGACGAUGCGUAGCCGACCUGAGAGAGUGGUCGGCCACACUGGAGCUGAAACACGGUCCAGACUCCUACGGGACGCAGCAGUAGGGAAUCUUCCGCAAUGGGCGGAAGCUUGGCGGAGCAGCGCCACGUCAGUGAUGAAGAUCUUCGGAUCGGGAAACUCUGUUAUUAGGGGAGAACAGCUGUGUACGUAGCUAUGCACGUCUUGACGGUACCUAGUCAGGAAGCCACGGCUAACUACGUG
This 497-nucleotide ribosomal RNA is filed under the name uncultured bacterium. Its description in RNAcentral is "partial 16S ribosomal RNA". It matches the Rfam family "Bacterial small subunit ribosomal RNA", at positions 28 to 507 of the family's 1533-position model. The record is from RNAcentral.